CUUUGGUUCCUUCAAACAAUCUCAGCAAGUGUGAAUAAUUGACAGGUUGAUCCACUUUAGUAUCUUUACUACUAUCUGCAAUCAGUAAGUCUAGAAUGGUGCUAAAGAGUGAUUAGAUAACAAGCAAAAAUCUAAUAAGUUCAUUAUCCCCUUCUUGACUCAAUAAAACUAAAACUCUUUUGAAAACAUUUUGAUAAGACUCAUGAACACACUAAUAUCGGUAAACAUCCCCCCAGACUUAAACUACAUUGUCCCCAGUGUAUAUUCAUUUUCCUCAGGGUCGAUCGUUGGAUCUGAAGUGAUGUCGAUCGAUAUCGAGCUGGUCGCAAUCCUUAAUGGUUGUACCCACCAAGUCAUAUUCGGAUUUCACCUAACUAACACCUAUUCCUUUUUUUAUUUUUUUGAAAAUAAGUAUCUCUACCUAUAAAUCUAGGGUCGAAAUAGAGACCGAAAAGGUGAUAAAUCUACACAAGGCUUUACCUUCCAGACUUGUUUGAAGAAUCCGAUCCCAUGUAUACCAAGCCCAAGACAAGCAGUUGUGUCAGGUUUAGUGUUGGAGGUCAGCUUUGGUUCCUUCAAACAAUCUCAGCAAGUGUGAAUAAUUGACAGGUUGAUCCACUUUAGUAUCUUUACUACUAUCUGCAAUCAGUAAGUCUAGAAUGGUGCUAAAGAGUGAUUAGAUAACAAGCAAAAAUCUAAUAAGUUCAUUAUCCCCUUCUUGACUCAAUAAAACUAAAACUCUUUUGAAAACAUUUUGAUAAGACUCAUGAACACACUAAUAUCGGUAAACAUCCCCCCAGACUUAAACUACAUUGUCCCCAGUGUAUAUUCA
RNAcentral lists this long non-coding RNA (832 nucleotides) under Brassica napus (rape). RNAcentral describes it as "long non-coding RNA (BNAP_LNC004542)". Lineage: Eukaryota; Viridiplantae; Streptophyta; Magnoliopsida; Brassicales; Brassicaceae. The record is from RNAcentral.